AUUGAACGCUGGCGGCAGGCCUAACACAUGCAAGUCGAACGGUAACAGGAAGCAGCUUGCUGCUUCGCUGACGAGUGGCGGACGGGUGAGUAAUGUCUGGGAAGCUGCCUGAUGGAGGGGGAUAACUACUGGAAACGGUUGCUAAUACCGCAUAAUGUCGCAAGACCAAAGAGGGGGACCUUCGGGCCUCUUGCCAUCGGAUGUGCCCAGAUGGGAUUAGCUUGUUGGUGGGGUAACGGCUCACCAAGGCGACGAUCCCUAGCUGGUCUGAGAGGAUGACCAGCCACACUGGGACUGAGACACGGUCCAGACUCCUACGGGAGGCAGCAGUGGGGAAUAUUGCACAAAGGGCGCAAGCCUGAUGCAGCCAUGCCGCGUGUAUGAAGAAGGCCUUCGGGUUGUAAAGUACUUUCAGCGGGGAGGAAGGGAGUAAAGUUAAUACCUUUGCUCAUUGACGUUACCCGCAGAAGAAGCACCGGCUAACUCCGUG
This 490-nucleotide ribosomal RNA is filed under the name uncultured bacterium. Its description in RNAcentral is "partial 16S ribosomal RNA". It matches the Rfam family "Bacterial small subunit ribosomal RNA", at positions 30 to 507 of the family's 1533-position model. The record is from RNAcentral.